CCUACGGGAGGCAGCAGUGGGGAAUAUUGCACAAUGGGCGCAAGCCUGAUGCAGCAACGCCGCGUGAGGGACGACGGCCUUCGGGUUGUAAACCUCUUUUAGUAGGGAAGAAGCGAAAGUGACGGUACCUGCAGAAAAAGCACCGGCUAACUACGUGCCAGCAGCCGCGGUAAUACGUAGGGUGCAAGCGUUAUCCGGAAUUAUUGGGCGUAAAGAGCUCGUAGGCGGUUUGUCGCGUCUGCUGUGAAAACUGGAGGCUCAACCUCCAGCCUGCAGUGGGUACGGGCAAACUAGAGUGCGGUAGGGGAGAUUGGAAUUCCUGGUGUAGCGGUGGAAUGCGCAGAUAUCAGGAGGAACACCGAUGGCGAAGGCAGAUCUCUGGGCCGUAACUGACGCUGAGGAGCGAAAGCAUGGGGAGCGAACAGGAUUAGAUACCCUGGUAGUCCAUGCCGUAAACGUUGGGCGCUAGAUGUGGGGACCAUUCCACGGUUUCCGUGUCGCNGCUACGCAUAGCGCCCCGCCCGCGGGAGGUACGGCCGCGAGGACGUAACUACGAAAGAAGUAGACGGCGUGAGACGUCGCCGACGGACGACGACGAGGGAGGAGG
RNAcentral lists this ribosomal RNA (607 nucleotides) under uncultured bacterium. RNAcentral describes it as "bacterial SSU rRNA". The stretch from base 1 to 522 matches the Rfam family "Bacterial small subunit ribosomal RNA", at positions 338 to 873 of the family's 1533-position model. The record is from RNAcentral.